RNAcentral lists this ribosomal RNA (1372 nucleotides) under uncultured bacterium. RNAcentral's name for it is "bacterial SSU rRNA". It matches the Rfam family "Bacterial small subunit ribosomal RNA", at positions 28 to 1381 of the family's 1533-position model. The record is from RNAcentral.
GAUGAACGCUGGCGGCGUGCCUAAUACAUGCAAGUCGAGCGAACGGACGAGAAGCUUGCUUCUCUGAUGUUAGCGGCGGACGGGUGAGUAACACGUGGAUAACCUACCUAUAAGACUGGGAUAACUUCGGGAAACCGGAGCUAAUACCGGAUAAUAUUUUGAACCGCAUGGUUCAAAAGUGAAAGACGGUCUUGCUGUCACUUAUAGAUGGAUCCGCGCUGCAUUAGCUAGUUGGUAAGGUAACGGCUUACCAAGGCAACGAUGCAUAGCCGACCUGAGAGGGUGAUCGGCCACACUGGAACUGAGACACGGUCCAGACUCCUACGGGAGGCAGCAGUAGGGAAUCUUCCGCAAUGGGCGAAAGCCUGACGGAGCAACGCCGCGUGAGUGAUGAAGGUCUUCGGAUCGUAAAACUCUGUUAUUAGGGAAGAACAUAUGUGUAAGUAACUGUGCACAUCUUGACGGUACCUAAUCAGAAAGCCACGGCUAACUACGUGCCAGCAGCCGCGGUAAUACGUAGGUGGCAAGCGUUAUCCGGAAUUAUUGGGCGUAAAGCGCGCGUAGGCGGUUUUUUAAGUCUGAUGUGAAAGCCCACGGCUCAACCGUGGAGGGUCAUUGGAAACUGGAAAACUUGAGUGCAGAAGAGGAAAGUGGAAUUCCAUGUGUAGCGGUGAAAUGCGCAGAGAUAUGGAGGAACACCAGUGGCGAAGGCGACUUUCUGGUCUGUAACUGACGCUGAUGUGCGAAAGCGUGGGGAUCAAACAGGAUUAGAUACCCUGGUAGUCCACGCCGUAAACGAUGAGUGCUAAGUGUUAGGGGGUUUCCGCCCCUUAGUGCUGCAGCUAACGCAUUAAGCACUCCGCCUGGGGAGUACGACCGCAAGGUUGAAACUCAAAGGAAUUGACGGGGACCCGCACAAGCGGUGGAGCAUGUGGUUUAAUUCGAAGCAACGCGAAGAACCUUACCAAAUCUUGACAUCCUUUGACAACUCUAGAGAUAGAGCCUUCCCCUUCGGGGGACAAAGUGACAGGUGGUGCAUGGUUGUCGUCAGCUCGUGUCGUGAGAUGUUGGGUUAAGUCCCGCAACGAGCGCAACCCUUAAGCUUAGUUGCCAUCAUUAAGUUGGGCACUCUAAGUUGACUGCCGGUGACAAACCGGAGGAAGGUGGGGAUGACGUCAAAUCAUCAUGCCCCUUAUGAUUUGGGCUACACACGUGCUACAAUGGACAAUACAAAGGGCAGCGAAACCGCGAGGUCAAGCAAAUCCCAUAAAGUUGUUCUCAGUUCGGAUUGUAGUCUGCAACUCGACUAUAUGAAGCUGGAAUCGCUAGUAAUCGUAGAUCAGCAUGCUACGGUGAAUACGUUCCCGGGUCU